CGGUUUUUUAAGUCUGAUGUGAAAGCCUUCGGCUCAACCGAAGAAGUGCAUCGGAAACUGGGAAACUUGAGUGCAGAAGAGGACAGUGGAACUCCAUGUGUAGCGGUGAAAUGCGUAGAUAUAUGGAAGAACACCAGUGGCGAAGGCGGCUGUCUGGUCUGUAACUGACGCUGAGGCUCGAAAGUAUGGGUAGCAAACAGGAUUAGAUACCCUGGUAGUCCAUACCGUAAACGAUGAAUGCUAAGUGUUGGAGGGUUUCCGCCCUUCAGUGCUGCAGCUAACGCAUUAAGCAUUCCGCCUGGGGAGUACGGCCGCAAGGCUGAAACUCAAAGGAAUUGACGGGGGCCCGCACAAGCGGUGGAGCAUGUGGUUUAAUUCGAAGCUACGCGAAGAACCUUACCAGGUCUUGACAUACUAUGCAAAUCUAAGAGAUUAGACGUUCCCUUCGGGGACAUGGAUACAGGUGGUGCAUGGUUGUCGUCAGCUCGUGUCGUGAGAUGUUGGGUUAAGUCCCGCAACGAGCGCAACCCUUAUUAUCAGUUGCCAGCAUUAAGUUGGGCACUCUGGUGAGACUGCCGGUGACAAACCGGAGGAAGGUGGGGAUGACGUCAAAUCAUCAUGCCCCUUAUGACCUGGGCUACACACGUGCUACAAUGGAUGGUACAACGAGUUGCGAACUCGCGAGAGUAAGCUAAUCUCUUAAAGCCAUUCUCAGUUCGGAUUGUAGGCUGCAACUCGCCUACAUGAAGUCGGAAUCGCUAGUAAUCGCGGAUCAGCAUGCCGCGGUGAAUACGUUCCCGGGCCUUGUACACACCGCCCGUCACACCAUGAGAGUUUGUAACACCCAAAGUCGGUGGGGUAACCUUUUAGGAACCAGC
This 878-nucleotide ribosomal RNA is filed under the name Lactiplantibacillus plantarum. RNAcentral's name for it is "bacterial SSU rRNA". It matches the Rfam family "Bacterial small subunit ribosomal RNA", at positions 576 to 1453 of the family's 1533-position model. Lineage: Bacteria; Bacillati; Bacillota; Bacilli; Lactobacillales; Lactobacillaceae. The record is from RNAcentral.